GAGCACUUGGAAUGGACCAUCAAAGCGUGGUUCAAGUCCUUUCCUCACAUGCCUCUUUAUCACCACCCAAUCACCAGGCUGCAGUUUGUGAGUUACAGAAUCAGAGUCUGGAUCUGGAAUAGAAUCAAAGACUUGUUUAUGCACCCUGCCUAAUCUUUGGUGUAGGGCCUGAACAUAGGCAGUCAUACUACCAUGCUGCAUCUGGAGGGUUUGGGGAAAAUAGAG
Molecule: non-coding RNA, 225 nt
Organism: Pelobates cultripes (western spadefoot toad)
Lineage: Eukaryota; Metazoa; Chordata; Amphibia; Anura; Pelobatidae
Source: the annotation of a GenBank genome assembly